GCCGGAAUAGCUCAGCUGGUAGAGCAACUGAUUCGUAAUCAGUAGGUCGCAGGUUCGACUCCUGCUUCCGGCAGCA
Molecule: transfer RNA, 76 nt
Filed under: Gammaproteobacteria bacterium
Lineage: Bacteria; Pseudomonadati; Pseudomonadota; Gammaproteobacteria
Description: tRNA-Thr
Rfam family: tRNA
About the family: Transfer RNA (tRNA) molecules are approximately 80 nucleotides in length. Their secondary structure includes four short double-helical elements and three loops (D, anti-codon, and T loops).
Source: RNAcentral